AAACCUUUACACUGCACGCAAGUGACUAAGGGGACCCCGAGUGCGAGGGCAUACAGUCCUCUGCUUUUCACCAUCCGUAAGGGGGGUAGGAAUAAGAGCUGGGCAASACCGGUGCCAGCCGCCGCGGCUAAUACCGGCAGCUCGAGUGAUGGCCGAUCUUAUUGGGCCUAAAGCGUCCCGUAGCCGGCCACACAAGUCCAUCGGGGCAAAUCCGCCAGCCUAACUGGCGGGCGUCCGGUGGAAACUGUGUGGCUCGGGAUCGGAAGACCCAACGGGUACGUCUUGGGUAGGAGUGAAAUCCCGUAAUCCUGGACGGACCACCGAUAGCGAAAGCACGUUGGGAAAACGAAUCCGACGGUGAGGACGAAAGCCAGGUCUCGAACCGGAUCAGAUACCCGGGUAGUCCUGGCCGUAAACGAUGUCUGCUAGUGUGGCUCCACUACGAGUGGGUGCUGUGCCGUAGGAAGCCGCUAAGCAGACCGCCUGGGAAGUACGUCCACAAGGAUGAAACUUAAAGGAAUUGGCGGGGGAGCACUACAACCGGAGGAGCUGCGGUUUAAUUGACUCAACGCCGGACAUCUCACCAGCAUCGACAACAGUAAUGACGGUCAGGUUGAUGACCUUGCCAGAGCCGUUGAGAGGAGGUGCAUGGCCGCCGUCAGCUCGUACGCGUGAGGCGUCCUGUUAAGUCAGGCAACGAGCGAGACCCGCACUCCUAAUUGCCAGCGACCGGCUUCGGCCGGGUGGGUACAUUAGGAGGACUGCCGUGGCUAACACGGAGGAAGGAACGGGCAACGGUAGGUCAGUAUGCCCCGAAUGUGCUGGGCCACACGCGGGCUACAAUGGCCGAGACAAUGGGUUCCCACCUCGAAAGAGAGCGGUAAUCUCCUAAACUCGGUCGUAGUUCGGAUUGAGGGUUGAAACUCACCCUCAUGAAGCUGGAUUCGGUAGUAAUCGCGUGUCAGCAGCGCGCGGUGAA
RNAcentral lists this ribosomal RNA (979 nucleotides) under uncultured Halobacteria archaeon. Its description in RNAcentral is "bacterial SSU rRNA". It matches the Rfam family "Archaeal small subunit ribosomal RNA", at positions 344 to 1321 of the family's 1478-position model. The record is from RNAcentral. Lineage: Archaea; Methanobacteriati; Methanobacteriota; Halobacteria.